RNAcentral lists this long non-coding RNA (3714 nucleotides) under Arachis ipaensis. RNAcentral describes it as "long non-coding RNA (AIPA_LNC000539)". Lineage: Eukaryota; Viridiplantae; Streptophyta; Magnoliopsida; Fabales; Fabaceae. The record is from RNAcentral.
ACACUAAGUUACAUAAAGAGAUUUUCAUUUUGGUUUCACUUCUAUAAAUACAGUCUUCUGAUGUGCAUUCUUUUUAAUGCUUAGGACAAUGGCUUGGUCCCAAUUGUGGAGCCAGAGAUCUUGCUUGAUGGUGAACAUGGCAUUGACAGGACUUUUGAGGUAGCGAAAAAGGUUUGGGCUGAGGUUUUCUUCUACCUUGCUGAGAACAAUGUCCAGUUUGAGGGUAUCCUCCUUAAGCCUAGCAUGGUUACUCCUGGAGCCGAGUCCAAGGACAGAGCCUCUCCUCAGAAAGUUGCUGACUACACACUCAAGCUUCUUCACAGCAGAAUUCCCCCGGCCGUCCCCGGAAUUAUGGUAAGUAACACUGCCAAACUCCAUCAUUACAUUGUUCUUUAUAUGUUGAUGUACUAAGAAAAUGUCCAAUUUUGUGUAGUUCUUGUCUGGUGGACAAUCUGAGGUGGAAGCAACUCUCAACUUGAAUGCAAUGAACCAAUGAAUAUGGUUUUGUACUUCAUUCCUUGUACUCUUCUAUGCUAAGAAUACUAGAAUAGGAAAUAAAACACUCAGUAGAUUACUGUAGUAGAAUGUUGAUUAAUCACCAAGAGUGCCCUUACUAGAUUGGAUUAUAAUAAUAAAUAAAAUAGUUUUAUAGAAGCUAUCACUUGGUAAUGUGUAGGGUUGAAAUCUUGGUUCUGUUUGCACUUUAUAAUGUUCAUUAGUUUGCCAACUUCAAGAACCAUGUCAGUUGGAUUCUUAUUUUAUUUUAACCAAAGUUUGCAGAUAACUUAAGUACCUUCCCUUCAAAUAGGUUUGGUAAUUCUGUCUUCUUUAUUCUUUUUGCUUCUACCAAUCUACAUGCGAUUGCUUAAUAGACUUGAUAGUUUCCCUACUACCAAAGAAGGAAAAGUAAAUAUAUUUGUGACUUUGGCCAUUGAAUAUCAUAGUUUGGAGACCUCAAUCUCUCCAAAAUCUGAGACUAAAUCAGGACCAUAAAAUCUUUUAGAAGGAGACAAAUUGCAUCAUCAUCAAGCCUAGUUAUAACCGCACACUGGUUUUUCCAUACAAAAGCCACUAACUUGUACCCUUUUGGAUGCAUGUUACACCUUUGUCACUAAUAGCAGCACAAUUGUGGGGAAAAAACUCUACCUUUUAUUUCCAAAUUCCAAGUCUAUUUGUUAACUUUUACAAGGUGAGCAAAGAGCCAUCCAUUUCAACCACUUAAUGCAGGAGAUUAUUGUAAGAGCACAAGUUUACCAUCUUAUAUUUAAACACACUCGUAAUAAAAAUAGUAUUUUUACUACUUGUUAUUAAGAGUGCGUUUAAAUAUGAGAUGGUAAACUUGUGUAAUGUAUUCACCUAGGAAUUUUUUGACAAUGGAAAAUGCCAAGUAAGCAGGAGUUAUCAUCCACAUGUCAGGUGAGGAUAGGUUGGUUGACAUGAGCCUCAAAUGAGAUAUCACUUGGUAACUAUAAAUAUAGAGAGAACAGAGUGCAUGUGUGGUAAAAAGGCACACAAAGAGGUUGCUGAAGGGGAUAAGAUUAUUGUGUUGCUGCUUGUUAAGGCAGAUUCAUACCAUUUUAUUGCAUUGAAACAAACAAUGGCCUCAGCAUCAGCAACUCUUCUCAAGUCAUCCCCAGUUCUUGACAAGUCUGAGUGGGUUAAAGGCCAAACACUUCGCCAAACUGCAGUGUCUCUUGCAAGAACCAACUCUGCCGCCCCAUCACCAUCAGCACUCACCAUCAGAGCUGGUUCCUAUGCCGAGGAGCUCGUCAAGACCGCGGUAUGAACGAUAAAACAUUGUUUUGAAUGCUAGAUGAUAAUGAUUCACCCCCAUAAUUCAUUUUGUUCUUUGCACUUUGGAUUUCUAGUACUUUAGUUAUGAACUUAUGUUGCACCAAAGCAUGGUUUACUUUACCAACUACGAACCAAGAGUAGCUCCAUUUAUGAACUUCAGAGGGCGUGUAGUUUUACAUCUUACAUUAGCAUGGUUUUGAAAUUGUUGCUUCAAUCUUCUUCAACCGUGUAAUCUUUUGAAUGUGUACGUGUAUAAUAUAUUUAGAAAACUAUUGCUUCACCUGGGCGUGGGAUUUUGGCGAUGGAUGAGUCAAAUGCAACCUGUGGGAAGCGUUUGGCCUCAAUUGGGCUAGAGAACACUGAAGCUAACCGCCAAGCAUACCGCACCCUCCUUGUGGCAGCACCAGGCCUUGGUCAGUUCAUCUCCGGUGCCAUUCUCUUUGAAGAAACUCUCUACCAAUCCACCGUUGAUGGCAAGAAAAUUGUUGAUUUACUUAAAGAGCAAAGCAUUGUUCCUGGUAUCAAAGUCGACAAGGUAAGCUCAAUGUGUCUUCUUUCUUUGAAAUGUUUGACAACAAAAAAAUUAGCCAAAAACAACAAAAAAUUGUCUUAUUUAAUAUUUAUUAAUUAUUACUAGAAUUAAUUAAUCUUAAAUAANNNNNNNNNNNNNNNNNNNNNNNNNNNNNNNNNNNNNNNNNNNNNNNNNNNNNNNNNNNNNNNNNNNNNNNNNNNNNNNNNNNNNNNNNNNNNNNNNNNNNNNNNNAGACAAGUUUGGAUUUUUUUUUUCUUUCUAACAUUAGCGUCUUUUCUGUUUUGGAUUACCUUUAUGCCUUAACCAGUAGAGUAAAGAAUUGAAGGAAUGAUAUAAAUAUAUCUCUAACAUCAAAUAUCCUACUUAUACACUAAAAAUCAACCAUCAAAUCAAUCACAUGUAUAAAAUACAUAUUAAAAUAUAAAAUAUAUAUUAAAAAUAAGUUAAACAAUAUAUGUAUUUACAUACAAAUAUAUUUUGGGUGAUUUUUAGCAUGUACAUAACACUUUUGAUAUACCAUAAUUGAAGUUAGCUUGUUGUAUGAUUGUCAUUGUCGUUGUCAUUGUGUAGUACAUGUGUGUGAAACGCACAAGUAGUAAGAUGAAAGAGAGAAAGCAAACGAUUUUCCCUUGGUGUGUAGUAUUUUAUUAAGAAAACAUGGUUUAUGAUAUACAAGUUUAGAAUUUUACUCAUGCCAUUGUAUUUGUUAAUACAUGGUUUAUGCAUGCGUUAAAAACAACAGGGUUUGGUGCCCUUGGCUGGUUCCAAUGAUGAGUCAUGGUGCCAAGGUUUGGAUGGUCUUGCCUCUCGCUCAGCCGCAUACUACCAGCAAGGUGCUCGUUUCGCCAAAUGGUGAGUUUCUGCAUAUUCUACUCUUUCUAGGGUCAUCAGAAUUUAUUGUUUAGCCAUUAAUGUUUAAAAGUAUGGGAUAAAAUAUAUUGUUGGAUUACUAGAUUAAAAAGAUUAAGUUGAUGGGGAAGUGAUGGCCAAAAAUAAUAGAUUUUUAAGGUUCGUAUCUCAAAUCGAAAUUUUAAGAUAAUUUUUGCAUUAAUAAUGACUUAAUUUAUAAACCAGGCGCACUGUUGUGAGCAUCCCCAAUGGUCCCUCUGCUUUGGCUGUCAAGGAAGCAGCAUGGGGUUUGGCUCGCUAUGCAGCCAUUUCUCAGGUAGUAAAUUAAAGAAACAAUUCAAGUUAUUCAAGAAUACUUAGUUGUAUUUAUAUAGUCUUCUAAGCUGUUUUUUUUUUGGUUCAAUGGUUAGGACAAUGGCUUGGUUCCAAUUGUGGAGCCAGAGAUCUUGCUUGAUGGUGAACAUGGCAUUGACAGGACUUUUGAGGUAGCGAAAAAGGUUUGGGCUGAGGUUUUCUUCUACCUUGCUGAGAACAAUGUC